UGAGAUACGGCCCAGACUCCUACGGGAGGCAGCAGUGGGGAAUAUUGCACAAUGGGCGGAAGCCUGAUGCAGCAACGCCGCGUGCGGGAUGACGGCCUUCGGGUUGUAAACCGCUUUCGCCUGUGACGAAGCGUGAGUGACGGUAAUGGGUAAAGAAGCACCGGCUAACUACGUGCCAGCAGCCGCGGUGAUACGUAGGGUGCGAGCGUUGUCCGGAUUUAUUGGGCGUAAAGGGCUCGUAGGUGGUUGAUCGCGUCGGAAGUGUAAUCUUGGGGCUUAACCGGCAGCGGGAAUUCGAUACGGGUUGACUUGAGGAAGGUAGGGGAGAAUGGAAUUCCUGGUGGAGCGGUGGAAUGCGCAGAUAUCAGGAGGAACACCAGUGGCGAAGGCGGUUCUCUGGGCCUUUCCUGACGCUGAGGAGCGAAAGCGUGGGGAGCGAACAGGCUUAGAUACCCUGGUAGUCCACGCUGUAAACGGUGGGUUCUAGGUGUGGGGUCCAUUCCACGGGUUCCGUGCCGUAGCUAACGCUUUAAGUACCCCGCCUGGGGAGUACGGCCGCAAG
This 562-nucleotide ribosomal RNA is filed under the name uncultured Propionibacterium sp. RNAcentral's name for it is "bacterial SSU rRNA". It matches the Rfam family "Bacterial small subunit ribosomal RNA", at positions 320 to 892 of the family's 1533-position model. Lineage: Bacteria; Bacillati; Actinomycetota; Actinomycetes; Propionibacteriales; Propionibacteriaceae. The record is from RNAcentral.